CCGUCGAUAGCUCAGUUGCAGAGCGGUGGACUGUAGAUCCAUAGGUCGCUGGUUCGACUCCGGCUCGACGGA
Molecule: transfer RNA, 72 nt
Filed under: Trichonephila clavata
Lineage: Eukaryota; Metazoa; Arthropoda; Arachnida; Araneae; Nephilidae
Description: tRNA-Tyr
Rfam family: tRNA
About the family: Transfer RNA (tRNA) molecules are approximately 80 nucleotides in length. Their secondary structure includes four short double-helical elements and three loops (D, anti-codon, and T loops). Further hydrogen bonds mediate the characteristic L-shaped molecular structure. tRNAs have two regions of fundamental functional importance: the anti-codon, which is responsible for specific mRNA codon recognition, and the 3' end, to which the tRNAs corresponding amino acid is attached (by aminoacyl-tRNA synthetases). tRNAs cope with the degeneracy of the genetic code in two manners: having more than one tRNA (with a specific anti-codon) for a particular amino acid; and 'wobble' base-pairing, i.e. permitting non-standard base-pairing at the 3rd anti-codon position.
Source: RNAcentral